AACGAACGCUGGCGGCGCGUCUUAAGCAUGCAAGUCGAGCGGGAUCCAUAGCAAUAUGGUGAGAGCGGCGGACUGGUGAGUAACGCGUGGGUGAUCUACCUCUGGGAUGGGGAUAGCCAUUAGAAAUAGUGGGUAAUACCGAAUACGAUGGCGAGACUUUGGUCAUGUCAUGAAAGGCGCGAUUGCGCCACCCGGAGAUGAGCCUGCGUCCAAUUAGCUAGUUGGUGAGGUAAAAGACUCACCAAGGCGAUGAUAGGUAGCCGGCCUGAGAGGGUGUACGGCCACAUUGGGACUGAGAUACGGCCCAAACUACCUACGGGAGGCAGCAGCUAAGAAUAUUCCGCAAUGGACGAAAGUACUGACGGAGCGACGCCGCGUGGAUGAUGAAGGCCGUGAGGUUGUAAAUACUUUACUUUGGGUAAGGAAGUAAGUAGUGGUA
Molecule: ribosomal RNA, 439 nt
Filed under: uncultured bacterium
Lineage: Bacteria
Description: bacterial SSU rRNA
Rfam family: Bacterial small subunit ribosomal RNA
Source: RNAcentral